This 460-nucleotide ribosomal RNA is filed under the name uncultured bacterium. RNAcentral's name for it is "partial 16S ribosomal RNA". It matches the Rfam family "Bacterial small subunit ribosomal RNA", at positions 338 to 795 of the family's 1533-position model. The record is from RNAcentral.
CCUACGGGCGGCAGCAGUGAGGAAUAUUGGUCAAUGGACGAGAGUCUGAACCAGCCAAGUAGCGUGAAGGAUGACUGCCCUAUGGGUUGUAAACUUCUUUUAUAAAGGAAUAAAACGAGGCACGUGUGCCUUUUUGCAUGUACUUUAUGAAUAAGGAUCGGCUAACUCCGUGCCAGCAGCCGCGGUAAUACGGAGGAUCCGAGUGUUAUCCGGAUUUAUUGGGUUUAAAGGGAGCGUAGAUGGGUUGUUAAGUCAGUUGUGAAAGUUUGCGGCUCAACCGUAAAAUUGCAAUUGAUACUGGCAGUCGUGAGUACAGUUGAGGUAGGCGGAAUUCGUGGUGUAGCGGUGAAAUGCUUAGAUAUCACGAAGAACCCCGAUUGCGAAGGCAGCUUACUAAACUGUGACUGACAUUGAUGCUCGAAAGUGUGGGUAUCAAACAGGAUUAGAUACCCGAGUAGUC